UACGUAGGGGGCAAGCGUUGUCCGGAUUUAUUGGGCGUAAAGAGCGUGUAGGCGGCCAGAUAGGUCAGCUGUGAAAACUCGAGGCUCAACCUCGAGACGUCGGUUGAAACCAUCUGGCUAGAGUCCGGAAGAGGAGAGUGGAAUUCCUGGUGUAGCGGUGAAAUGCGCAGAUAUCAGGAAGAACACCAAUGGCGAAAGCAGCUUUCUGGGACGGUACUGACGCUGAGACGCGAAAGCGUGGGGAGCGAACAGG
This 253-nucleotide ribosomal RNA is filed under the name uncultured bacterium. RNAcentral's name for it is "partial 16S ribosomal RNA". It matches the Rfam family "Bacterial small subunit ribosomal RNA", at positions 524 to 776 of the family's 1533-position model. The record is from RNAcentral.